RNAcentral lists this unclassified non-coding RNA (248 nucleotides) under uncultured fungus. Its description in RNAcentral is "sequence contains ITS2". Lineage: Eukaryota; Fungi. The record is from RNAcentral.
AACGCACAUUGCGCCCGCCAGCAUCCUGGCGGGCAUGCCUGUCCGAGCGUCACUCCCGCCCGUCAAGCCCGGCUUGCGUUGGGGCGCUGCGGCCGCCGCAGGCCCCCAAAUCCAGUGGCGGGACCGCCGCCGCGCCGAGCGUAGUAGGGCACCUCGCUCCGGCGCGGGGGCGGCCUCCGGCCGUAAAAGGCCGCUUCCCGGCUCAAAAGGUCGACCUCGGAUCAGGUAGGAAUACCCGCUGAACUUAA